AGAGUUUGAUCCUGGCUCAGAUUGAACGCUGGCGGCAUGCCUUACACAUGCAAGUCGAACGGCAGCAUAGGAGCUUGCUCCUGAUGGCGAGUGGCGAACGGGUGAGUAAUAUAUCGGAACGUGCCCUAGAGUGGGGGAUAACUAGUCGAAAGAUUAGCUAAUACCGCAUACGAUCUACGGAUGAAAGUGGGGGAUCGCAAGACCUCAUGCUCCUGGAGCGGCCGAUAUCUGAUUAGCUAGUUGGUGAGGUAAAAGCUCACCAAGGCGACGAUCAGUAGCUGGUCUGAGAGGACGACCAGCCACACUGGGACUGAGACACGGCCCAGACUCCUACGGGAGGCAGCAGUGGGGAAUUUUGGACAAUGGGGGCAACCCUGAUCCAGCAAUGCCGCGUGAGUGAAGAAGGCCUUCGGGUUGUAAAGCUCUUUUGUCAGGGAAGAAACGGUAGAGGCUAAUAUCCUUUGCUAAUGACGGACCUGAAGAAUAG
This 487-nucleotide ribosomal RNA is filed under the name uncultured Herbaspirillum sp. Its description in RNAcentral is "bacterial SSU rRNA". It matches the Rfam family "Bacterial small subunit ribosomal RNA", at positions 8 to 489 of the family's 1533-position model. Lineage: Bacteria; Pseudomonadati; Pseudomonadota; Betaproteobacteria; Burkholderiales; Oxalobacteraceae. The record is from RNAcentral.